GAUUGAGGGUUACUACUACCACAGGAGCUCGGAAUGGUAUCAGUCACUCAACCUGAGCCACGUCCGAGAGCACAGUAUUCCCAUCUAUGAAUUCCGCUGAAAAAGAUGACGUGUUUGUCACGGAGGGCUCAAAUUCACGCCGCCCUGGUCUUCAAAUGGGAUGCAAAAAAAUUUAAAUAAAUAAAUACGGAUGGCGAGAGAGCCACUGGCUGCCGAGAAGGGAGCCUGGAUCCCACUCGGUAUCUCGCACGCUGCAAGGCGCUCCUUGAGUCCUGCGGAAGAGCGAUGGGCCAAUGGAUACAAUGAACAGGUGUCACAGUGGCCACAAGACCUGCUGAUGUCCACCUUUCACUUGUAAACUGGCUUGAUUUUUUUUUUUUUUAAUUGUUUUACACAUGCUACUUCUACUCACAAGAAAGACAACUUUGCCUUUUGAAGUUGAAGUAACUAAGACAUGACAAGAUGGUUUUCAGUCAAAUCUAAAUAAUUUAAUCUAGUGCAGUAACACAUUGAUUUUAAAUGAAGAUUAUCAACCAUCAUCGGCCAAUGAUUAAGAACCCGUUUCCAUAUUGUCAUGAUACAGCAAAUAGUUGUAAUUUUUUUUUUAACCAACAGAGAAAGCAGUUUACAGUAUGAAGGUUUUUUUUAAGGUUUUUUUGAAAUUCAGUCACGUAACGUCACAUUCCAGUUGCGUCGUCAUUUUUGCGGCAGGAAAGUUGUUGCGCAACGCAAUUUUAAUCCAGUUCAUGUGACUGUCCUGGAAAAGUAGUCGUAAAGAUUUCAUAAUUUAACAGGGAAAGUUACUUUGUGAAGACAUUGGAGGCUGUGUAAUAAACGUUCAGUGUUUUGAAAGCUUCACUAAAAAAAGAUUUAAAAUUGUUUUCCAAACUUUGUAAUGCCUCUCAAUUUUGUCGGAAUUUGGGGAGGUUUGGAUCUGUUUCAAGUGGUACUGACGACAAAAUCCACGCAGUUUGACACUUUUUGGGAUUGAUCACACCACACUGAAAAUUUGUUGGAUUCAUCUGUACCAAAUGUGGGGGGGAAUAAAUAACUGAUUUCUG
Molecule: long non-coding RNA, 1061 nt
Organism: Hippocampus comes (tiger tail seahorse)
Lineage: Eukaryota; Metazoa; Chordata; Actinopteri; Syngnathiformes; Syngnathidae
Exons: 2
Source: RefSeq, a predicted model, not a curated record